Molecule: ribosomal RNA, 306 nt
Filed under: uncultured bacterium
Lineage: Bacteria
Description: bacterial SSU rRNA
Rfam family: Bacterial small subunit ribosomal RNA
Source: RNAcentral
CGCGAAUUCGCCCUUUGCCAGCAGCCGCGGUAAUACGUAGGGUGCAAGCGUUGUUCGGAAUUAUUGGGCGUAAAGCGCGCGUAGGCGGGCUAAUAAGUCGAUUGUGAAAUCCCUGGGCUCAACCCGGGAACUGCAGUCGAAACUGCUAGUCUUGAAUGCUUGAGAGGGUGGUGGAAUUCCUGGUGUAGAAGUGAAAUUCGUAGAUAUCAGGAGGAGCACCUGAGGCGAAGGCGACCACCUGGCAAGACAUUGACGCUGAGGCGCGAAAGCGUGGGGAGCAAACAGGAUUAGAUACCCUGGUAGUCC